GAUGAACGCUGGCGGCGUGCUUAACACAUGCAAGUCGAACGAUGAUCCCAGCUUGCUGGGGGAUUAGUGGCGAACGGGUGAGUAACACGUGAGUAACCUGCCCUUGACUCUGGGAUAAGCCUGGGAAACCGGGUCUAAUACUGGAUAUGACCUUCUGGCGCAUGCCAUGUUGGUGGAAAGCUUUAUUGCGGUUUUGGAUGGACUCGCGGCCUAUCAGCUUGUUGGUGGGGUAAUGGCCUACCAAGGCGACGACGGGUAGCCGGCCUGAGAGGGUGGACGGCCACACUGGGACUGAGACACGGCCCAGACUCCUACGGGAGGCAGCAGUGGGGAAUAUUGCACAAUGGGCGCAAGCCUGAUGCAGCGACGCCGCGUGGGGGAUGAAGGCCUUCGGGUUGUAAACCUCUUUCAGUAGGGAAGAAGCGAAAGUGACGGUACCUGCAGAAGAAGCGCCGGCUAACUACGUGCCAGCAGCCGCGGUAAUACGUAGGGCGCAAGCGUUAUCCGGAAUUAUUGGGCGUAAAGAGCUCGUAGGCGGUUUGUCGCGUCUGCCGUGAAAGUCCGGGGCUUAACCCCGGAUCUGCGGUGGGUACGGGCAGACUAGAGUGAUGUAGGGGAGACUGGAAUUCCUGGUGUAGCGGUGAAAUGCGCAGAUAUCAGGAGGAACACCGAUGGCGAAGGCAGGUCUCUGGGCAUUAACUGACGCUGAGGAGCGAAAGCAUGGGGAGCGAACAGGAUUAGAUACCCUGGUAGUCCAUGCCGUAAACGUUGGGCACUAGGUGUGGGGGACAUUCCACGUUUUCCGCGCCGUAGCUAACGCAUUAAGUGCCCCGCCUGGGGAGUACGGCCGCAAGGCUAAAACUCAAAGGAAUUGACGGGGGCCCGCACAAGCGGCGGAGCAUGCGGAUUAAUUCGAUGCAACGCGAAGAACCUUACCAAGGCUUGACAUGAACUGGAACAGCGCAGAGAUGUGUUGGCCGCUUGCGGCCGGUUUACAGGUGGUGCAUGGUUGUCGUCAGCUCGUGUCGUGAGAUGUUGGGUUAAGUCCCGCAACGAGCGCAACCCUCGUUCUAUGUUGCCAGCGCGUUAUGGCGGGGACUCAUAGGAGACUGCCGGGGUCAACUCGGAGGAAGGUGGGGAC
Molecule: ribosomal RNA, 1141 nt
Filed under: Arthrobacter sp. BB70
Lineage: Bacteria; Bacillati; Actinomycetota; Actinomycetes; Micrococcales; Micrococcaceae
Description: bacterial SSU rRNA
Rfam family: Bacterial small subunit ribosomal RNA
Source: RNAcentral